This is a long non-coding RNA of Megachile rotundata (alfalfa leafcutting bee), 1281 nucleotides long. The record is from RefSeq and is a predicted model, not a curated record. Lineage: Eukaryota; Metazoa; Arthropoda; Insecta; Hymenoptera; Megachilidae.
GAACGCGAGGGCAGAAGCCUGAAAACGAAAUGGCAUCAUUUACAGGGUAACAAUGAGAUUAUAACCGGUAUACCGUGACGGAUAUGCCACGUAUGAAGUCGAAUGAAAAAUAUCAAAUUGUUCCCAUCGCUUACGUACGAAGAAGGGCCGAACAAACACAUCCGAGUACCUAUCGUAGAAUUGGCGCCAAAAAUACUUGAUCGAAAUAAAAGUCGAUUAAUUGGAUUAACGGUUCGAUUGCUUGAAUCGAAUAAUGAUGCAUGAAAUAGCCCUAAAUUACUUUUCACUUCGAGGGACGCAAACGUAUAGGAGGAAGAUUUAUGCACCACGUUUUUCUCGUGGAAAAUUAUAUACACGUUGCCUAGAACUUCGAUAACGCUUGACGGAAUAUACAAGGAUAUUAGCACUAUGAAACAAAAUUACGAAAAGUGGUACGGAACACGUGGUCAAGCAAAGGCCAAUUUAAAGGGCAAACUGGGGCCAGUUAUUCCAAAAGAAAGUUAUGGUGUAUGGAACACCAUAAAAAAUAAUUUUUGUUACAUUAAAUCAUGGUAAGUUAAAUGAAUAGGUGGUAAGGUUAGAAAAUGCGAUUCUAAUUGAAAAGUACUUGGACCAGAGUAUUAUAAUAACUAAAGGAUUUAUUUUUCAAUUUGUUAGGAAAAAUAAACGGAUUUAAACCGGAUGACGAGUUUCUUCGUUUCCUUUCGGAACGUUUACAUAUGUAAAUUUGAAUAACAAUGAUUUAUACCGGUAAUCAUAUCGAGAAUCGGGUUUAAUGAGCUCAAACGUCAGAAUGAGAAGUCUUAAUGAGGUCUUGUUUGAGAAGAUCUAAUAUCCAGAGAUAAUACUGUUGCGUAUUAUUCUAAUGCAGUGUUUCUCAACUAGCAUAAUUACCGACAGUUCUUUAUCAUUAUUUAAUUCUGUGUCAUUGCAUGCUGGCACGUAAUUUUUAUUCUAGACAUCGUUUACUAGUAGUGUAUAUCAAUAUUUCGACGAUCCCGUGCAUUAUGUCUUUAAAUUUAUGUCAUAACAAAUGAUUUAAAAAUUAAUAUUUGAUUCAUUUCAGGAGAACAUGCAUAUUUCAUUAUCCUCCUCGCCAUAUUCUCGUCAGGGGCCAUUUGUAUGAAUACCUUUUGAGUACUGCUAUUUUCUAGUAGUACGUAUCAAUAUUUCGACGAUCAACAAGAGAAGGAAGACAGUAGCAGCAAGAUACCAGUUGUCAAUAAUAACGAUAAGGAUAUCAGAUCGAGUAGACACGUGUUUGGGAGACACUGUUCCAAU